UCUCUUUAAACUCACUUUCUCUCUAGAUUCUCUCUUGUUUCUCUCUACUUCUUCCUCUUCCUCUGUACCAAUUCCAUCUUCUGCACUGUAGUUAAUACACCACUCCCCAAACCCUUGCUUUCUGCAGCUCCGACCUCUCUCCUCGCCCUCAGGUUCCUCAAACAUUGUUGUCAUUAAGUCAGAGGAUGAAUACAACAGCGCAAUCAGCAAAGCUAAGGACGGAGAUGAGCCAGCACUUUUCUACUUCACUGCAGUCUGGUGCGGGCCUUGCAGGUUCAUAUCUCCAGUCAUUGGAGAGUUGAGUGAGCAAUACCCACAUGUAACAACAUAUAAGAUUGACAUCGAUGAGCCUGCAUUCCAUCUCUUUCAAGACGGGAAGAAGGUGGCUGAAGUUGUUGGUGCUGAUGUUGCUCUCUUGAGAGACACUUUUGGAAAACUCUACAAAUAAUUCUUUAGUACAUUACACUACACUCGUGUGCUUUCUCAUUUGUGAAUGCAGUGUUUAUAUUAAGUGCAUAAUAAUUUUUAGCGGCUCAAAUUUCUCCAAAUGUGAUCAGUUCUAUACCUCAAUUUAUAUUAAACCCUAUCGUAGGAUUUCCAUUUCAUGUGUGUGUGUGUGUAACUAAAACUGUUGGUGUUGAUGAC
This is a non-coding RNA of Malus domestica (apple), 645 nucleotides long. Lineage: Eukaryota; Viridiplantae; Streptophyta; Magnoliopsida; Rosales; Rosaceae. The record is from RefSeq and is a predicted model, not a curated record.